GACGAACGCUGGCGGCGUGCUUAACACAUGCAAGUCGAACGGAAAGGCCCUGCUUUUGUGGGGUGCUCGAGUUGCGAACGGGUGAGUAACACGUGAGUAACCUGCCCUUGACUUUGGGAUAACUUCAGGCAACUGAGGCUAAUAGCGGAUAGGAUCUCCUGCUGCAUGGUGGGGGCUGGAUAGAUUCGGCGGUUGGGGAUGGACUCGCGGCUUAUCAGCUUGUUGGUGGGGUAGUGGCUGACCAAGGCUUUGACGGGUAGCCGGCCUGAGAGGGUGACCGGCCACCAUGGGACUGAGAUACGGCGCAGACUACUACGGGAGGCAGCAGUGGGGAAUAUUGCACAAUAGGCGGAAGCAUGAUGCAGCAACGCCGCGUGCGGGAUGACGGACUUCGGGUUGUAAACCGCUUUCGCCUGUGACGAAGAGUGUGUGACGGUAAGGGGUAAAGAAGCACCGGCUAACUACG
This 466-nucleotide ribosomal RNA is filed under the name uncultured bacterium. RNAcentral's name for it is "partial 16S ribosomal RNA". It matches the Rfam family "Bacterial small subunit ribosomal RNA", at positions 28 to 505 of the family's 1533-position model. The record is from RNAcentral.